This 2476-nucleotide long non-coding RNA is filed under the name Zea mays. RNAcentral's name for it is "long non-coding RNA (ZMAY_LNC003701)". Lineage: Eukaryota; Viridiplantae; Streptophyta; Magnoliopsida; Poales; Poaceae. The record is from RNAcentral.
CCAGCCUCUAUCUCCAUAGCCGCACGUCGAGCCACAGACAGGGAGACUAUAGCCUUGGCGUUGGAAAUAGAGAGAGAGAGAGAGACAGGGAAGGGAGAGAAGGGUGGAGCCGCUGCUGGCUAACUUGGAUAUCGGCUCGUAGAGUCCCCAGGACACGCAGAGUUCUCGGCACGGGUGGCCGAGGUGUGGCCGGCUUCGUGCCGGAGCUUGUAGUUUGUCGCGGCGGGAUCGAGGGCUCCGCCGAUCCCUGCAGCUCAGGCGGUGCCGGUGGGAACAAGCGCUCCGUCCAUCAGAUCGCAGGCGGGGGGAGAAUGAUUGUCGCUGAAUCCUAGGGUCACCGACGUUCGUCUCAUGCUUUUCACUGGAUCGGUCGACCCUCUCCUUAUGCACCGGUAAGAAACCUUUCCCCUUGGCCGCUUCGAAUUCGUCCAUAAAACGUGUAGUUGCUGUUGAUGUUGGGCGCUGGAUCGCUGUGUCAUGGGCGCCUAUGAGCUCAUCGCCGUGGGACCGCUUCGCGUCGGGCGACCUUGGCUAGCUAGUAGGGAGAGAAGGAACGCUGGGAGGCCGUGAGGUAGAAGACAUCGCGCGGCCGUCGGAUUUGAACUGAGGGCUGAGAUUAGAUCUGGGAGGGUUGGCUGUCGGCCGUUGAUGCGAGGAUGGACGAACCGGAUCAGGACUCCCAAACCGCUUCACGUUAUUUAAUCGGAGUCGUUGAUCUUCGAAUCCACGAUCCAAAUCGAGUCUUCGCUAUUUUAAAUCUCUACCAUUGAUUCCGGAUCCAAGGGGCUGGAUGGCGUACCGGUUCGUGGCCGACUAGUUUUAAUCCGGACGCCCCGUUAGGAUCAGACGGUCGAGAUCAAACCGCACCUAUUCGCUCUGGCACAAUUGCAUAAGAGUCCCUCGGGAAGUAGGAAAUAGAACCCACCAUCCACCUUCACUGUGCGCCGUGUCUUGGGGGUUUUGUCCCGAACCCCCUAGGUUUCUCUGGAUUUGAGGCCUGGUCCAGUGUAAUAUUAAACCAGAGAAAUUAAUCUAUAAAUGGGUUUUUAAUAAAUAAAUAAAUGUUAGAACUUGAUUAAAUCAUAGAAAAUCCAUUUUUAGUCCAAAUUAACCCAUUCAACUUCUAUAUUUUUGUAAUAUUAUUCUCUAUCACUUAGAGACUCUGUUUUUACAUGUUUGGUGUGAUGUUAAUUUUCUCUAUAUACUGUGCUUGUUUGUAUUGUGGCGAGUAGAAGAGCGUAUGACCGAGGAUCCUGGUGACCAGUUGAUAGAAGUAGCUGAGCAGGAGCUCAUUGAAGGCAAGUUGUGCCCUUGAUCACUUCUUUUACCCAUUCAUGUUCUUAUUAAUCAUAAUGAUCUGCAUAGGUUAAUUUUGAUGGGACCCAAUAGGUUACCCUAGAUUUUGACUAUCUUUAUACCUUGUUUCACCACUAGUUUUACUACUAAAUUUUUGGGUAGUACAUGCUAUUGCUUUAUGUGGCUUUGGGUAUAAAGAUAUUCAUCACUCAUUGUUAUACUUUUAUUAUCUGUUUAUUAUUAUUAUUCAUGAUAAGAUCAUUAUGUUAAUGGGAACAUGGAGAACCACCCGAGAAAACAGUGCUACCACAAGGGUUUAAUGGGACGCCCUUGGCUGAUUAACUAGGAAAGCUAGUGGAUGACUACCUUACCUGAAAGGGGCAAGGGCAGUAGGAGAGUGGUCAGUGUAGGGAGGUCCUUGGGUUGAUUUUGCUGCGAUGGCGGUCAGGCGAGGGAUUCCUGCACUGGAGCUUCCUAUAAACUGUAGCGGGUUUUCUGAAGCUAGUGGAACUUUGUAAAGGCCUCAUAGUGGUACCCUGCCUCGCUUCCUAGGUAGAGGUGUAUGGAGUCUGAUCAACUCCGUGGCAAAUGGGUAACACGACUUGUGGGUAAAGAUGCGCAACCUCUGCAGAGUGUAAAACUGGUAUACUAGCCGUGCUCACGGUCAUGAGCGGCUCGGACACUCACAUGAUUAACUUAUGGAACUUAAACUUAAUUUGUCAUUUCAUUGCAUCUGGGAUUAUUUCAUUAUUACUUUUAUUUAUUAUUUCUAAGGUUUGGUAUUUACUUAUACUUAGUAAUUGCUAAUAAAAUUUUGACCAACUUAUAAAAGCAAUUCUCAGCUUCAGCCUUUAUUUCAUUGAUCAGCCUUACACUUCAUGAACUCCCACCUUUGGUGAGUUCAUGCCACAUUAUUCCCCACAACUUGUUGAGCGAUGAACAUGUGUGAGCUCACCCUUGCUGUCUCACACCCCCCACAGGAGAAGAACAAGUGAUCGAAGAGGAGCCGCCUAACACUGAGGCUUUCGACUUGAUCUAGGUGGCGUCUCCCAGUCAGCUUUCUAGUGCCAAGGAUAGAUUUUAGAUCCUGUGAUAUUUAUCUCUUAUUUUGUAAGACUUCCGCUAUGUAAUAAGUACUCAGAUUAUAUGUGACAUUUAUCUCUAUACACUAUGUUAUUAU